This 76-nucleotide transfer RNA is filed under the name Mycobacteroides abscessus subsp. massiliense. RNAcentral's name for it is "tRNA-Leu(caa)". It matches the Rfam family "tRNA". Rfam says of the family: Transfer RNA (tRNA) molecules are approximately 80 nucleotides in length. Their secondary structure includes four short double-helical elements and three loops (D, anti-codon, and T loops). The record is from RNAcentral. Lineage: Bacteria; Bacillati; Actinomycetota; Actinomycetes; Mycobacteriales; Mycobacteriaceae.
GGUCGGCUAGGCAAACCUGGCAAAGCCGCCGAGUUCAAACCUCGGUGUGUGCGAGUUCGAUCCUCGCGCCGACUAC